This 279-nucleotide unclassified non-coding RNA is filed under the name plant metagenome. RNAcentral describes it as "partial contains small subunit ribosomal RNA, internal transcribed spacer 1, and 5.8S ribosomal RNA". The record is from RNAcentral.
UUUCCGUAGGUGAACCUGCGGAAGGAUCAUUAUUGUAUCACCGAGGUUCGAGGUCUGAAGCUGACCCGACCGGUCGUGCACGACCGAGUGCCCGCCCACGCAUCCAUCCCACACCUGUGGGCACCACCGCGUGGGUCCCUCCUUGGCUUGUUCGGAGGGCCGUAUACGUUUUACCCUCAUCUUUGUAUGCAGUGUUGCUUGUUUUUUUUGUUUUUGCGAUCACGCAAUAACUACAACUUUCAUCAACGGAUCUCUUGCCUCCAGCACCGAAGAAGAAUG